Molecule: long non-coding RNA, 704 nt
Organism: Rhagoletis pomonella (apple maggot)
Lineage: Eukaryota; Metazoa; Arthropoda; Insecta; Diptera; Tephritidae
Exons: 4
Source: RefSeq, a predicted model, not a curated record
UUAUGUGCAUGAAUCACAUUCAUCAUUUUUGAUGUUUUUUGGUUUGGUUUACAUCGUCUGCUACCUCUUCGUAGUGAUUUUUUUUAGCGAUUUUAUGAGUUUUCUGCAGCGAUUUUAAUUAUAAAUUUUGAUUUAUUACAAACUUAUGAUAUAAUAUGAAGUGCUUUGUGAUUGGAACAAGUUUGUGCGUUGGUUUGAUUUGCCAGGAGGCGUAAAUUUGCAUGAAAAUUGGUUUAUGUGCAUAUCACUUUUGUCACUUCCUGAAUGGUUGAAACUGUCAUUCAUAAAUUGCAGCACAUGGCGUUAGUACGAGCUUUUAGCCGAGUUGUUAACAUGGGUGACAAAGGAGAUGAUCAGAAUGGAGAAAACAUAUUGAGGCGCGGCGCUUAUUACUGGCAGUCACGUUUGUGGCCCAAUCUCGAUCAUUACCGCUCAUUCGCAGCUUAAGAUAUACGUUUAUCAGUGCACUUGAACAAUAUUCGCAUUCGCAAAAGCUCCGCAUUGAUUAUUGGGUAGUAGUGCACUUUAGAGGAACCAGGUCAAAAUGGACGGAAAAGGUUCGAGACUGGUAUCAAUCGACGCGUCUUAACGCCAACAACAAUCCGAGACCGGGAAUUUACAUUUUUAAUUCAUUAAAGAGUUAUUUGCAAAAAAACACUUGCACUUUCCGCACAAUGUUUUGAUGAAUUUCACGCAAAUGAAUG